CCUACGGGAGGCAGCAGUAAGGAAUAUUGGACAAUGCUCGCAAGAGUGAUCCAGCCAUGCCGCGUGCAGGAAGACGGCCCUAUGGGUUGUAAACUGCUUUUGAACUAGAGAAAACCCUCCUACGUGUAGGAGGCUGAUAGUAUAGUUAGAAUAAGCAUCGGCUAACUUCGUGCCAGCAGCCGCGGUAAGACGAAGGAUGCAAGCGUUAUCCGGAUUCAUUGGGUUUAAAGGGAGCGUAGGUGGACUGAUAAGUCAGUGGUGAAAUCUCUCGGCUUAACCGAGAAAUUGCCAUUGAUACUGUUGGUCUUGAGUACAGUUGCUGUGGGCGGAAUAUGACAUGUAGUGGUGAAAUACAUAGAGAUGUCAUAGAACACCGAUUGCGAAGGCAGCUCACAAAGCUGUAACUGACACUGAGNUCGAAGUAGCGGGAGUACAACAGAUAGAUACCUACGUAGUCGCACCGUAACGA
This 469-nucleotide ribosomal RNA is filed under the name uncultured bacterium. RNAcentral's name for it is "bacterial SSU rRNA". It matches the Rfam family "Bacterial small subunit ribosomal RNA", at positions 338 to 809 of the family's 1533-position model. The record is from RNAcentral.